AACGAACGCUGGCGGCAUGCCUAACACAUGCAAGUCGAACGAUCCCUUCGGGGAUAGUGGCGCACGGGUGCGUAACGCGUGGGAACCUGCCCUUAGGUUCGGAAUAACUCAGAGAAAUUUGAGCUAAUACCGGAUAAUGUCUUCGGACCAAAGAUUUAUCGCCUUUGGAUGGGCCCGCGUUGGAUUAGCUAGUUGGUGGGGUAAAGGCCUACCAAGGCGACGAUCCAUAGCUGGUCUGAGAGGAUGAUCAGCCACACUGGGACUGAGACACGGCCCAGACUCCUACGGGAGGCAGCAGUGGGGAAUAUUAGACAAUGGGCGAAAGCCUGAUCCAGCAAUGCCGCGUAAGUGAUGAAGGCCUUAGGGUUGUAAAGCUCUUUUACCCGGGAUGAUAAUGACAGUACCGGGAGAAUAAGCCCCGGCUAACUCCGUG
Molecule: ribosomal RNA, 433 nt
Filed under: uncultured bacterium
Lineage: Bacteria
Description: partial 16S ribosomal RNA
Rfam family: Bacterial small subunit ribosomal RNA
Source: RNAcentral